Molecule: unclassified non-coding RNA, 155 nt
Filed under: Mycobacterium talmoniae
Lineage: Bacteria; Bacillati; Actinomycetota; Actinomycetes; Mycobacteriales; Mycobacteriaceae
Description: partial 16S-23S intergenic spacer
Source: RNAcentral
AAGGAGCACCACGAAAUUCCCCCGUCCCCACACCGUGUGGGAUCAAGGCGGUUGGGAGAUCGCCCGUCACCUGUAGUGGGUGCGGGUGGGUGCGCAACAACAAUGUCCGGUCCGUUGGGCCGGUGAGAAUCGCCAGGCACACUGUUGGGUCCUGA